CCUACGGGGUGCAGCAGUAGGGAAUCUUUCACAGUGGACGAGGAACCACUGGAGCAACGCCGCGUGCAGGAUGAAGGCCUUCGGGUUGUAAACUGCUUUUAUAAGCGAGAAAUAUGAUGGUAACUUAUGAAUAAGGAUCGGCUAACUACGUGCCAGCAGCCGCGGUCAUACGUAGGAUCCGAGCAUUAUCCGGAGUGACUGGGUGUAAAGAGUUGCGUAGGUGGCAUAAUAAGUAGCUAGUGAAAUCUGGUGGCUCAACCAUUCAGACUAUUAGCUAAACUGUUAAGCUCGAGACCGUUAGGGGUAACUGGAAUUUCUAGUGUAGGAGUGAAAUCCGUAGAUAUUAGAAGGAACACCAAUAGCGUAGGCAGGUUGCUGGGACGGUUCUGACACUAAGGCACGAAAGCGUAGGGAGCAAACGGGAUUAGAUACCCUAGUAGUC
This 442-nucleotide ribosomal RNA is filed under the name uncultured bacterium. RNAcentral's name for it is "partial 16S ribosomal RNA". It matches the Rfam family "Bacterial small subunit ribosomal RNA", at positions 338 to 795 of the family's 1533-position model. The record is from RNAcentral.